This 1286-nucleotide ribosomal RNA is filed under the name metagenome. RNAcentral describes it as "bacterial SSU rRNA". It matches the Rfam family "Bacterial small subunit ribosomal RNA", at positions 243 to 1520 of the family's 1533-position model. The record is from RNAcentral.
AGCUAGUUGGUGAGGCAAAGGCUUACCAAGGCGACGAUCUGUAGCGGGUCUGAGAGGAUGAUCCGCCACACUGGAACUGAGACACGGUCCAGACUCCUACGGGAGGCAGCAGUGGGGAAUUUUGGACAAUGGGGGCAACCCUGAUCCAGCCAUGCCGCGUGAGUGAAGAAGGCCUUCGGGUUGUAAAGCUCUUUCGGCCGGGAAGAAAUCGCAUGGGCCAAUACCCUGUGUGGAUGACGGUACCGGAAUAAGAAGCACGGGCUAACUACGUGCCAGCAGCCGCGGUAAUACGUAGGGUGCGAGCGUUAAUCGGAAUUACUGGGCGUAAAGCGUGCGCAGGCGGUUUUGUAAGACAGGCGUGAAAUCCCCGGGCUUAACCUGGGAACUGCGUUUGUGACUGCAAGGCUAGAGUACGGCAGAGGGGGGUGGAAUUCCACGUGUAGCAGUGAAAUGCGUAGAGAUGUGGAGGAACACCAAUGGCGAAGGCAGCCCCCUGGGUCGAUACUGACGCUCAUGCACGAAAGCGUGGGUAGCAAACAGGAUUAGAUACCCUGGUAGUCCACGCCCUAAACUAUGUCAACUAGGUGUUGGGUGGGUAAAACCAUUUAGUACCGUAGCUAACGCGUGAAGUUGACCGCCUGGGGAGUACGGCCGCAAGGUUAAAACUCAAAGGAAUUGACGGGGACCCGCACAAGCGGUGGAUGAUGUGGAUUAAUUCGAUGCAACGCGAAAAACCUUACCUACCCUUGACAUGCCAGGAACUUGCCAGAGAUGGCUUGGUGCCCGAAAGGGAGCCUGGACACAGGUGCUGCAUGGCUGUCGUCAGCUCGUGUCGUGAGAUGUUGGGUUAAGUCCCGCAACGAGCGCAACCCUUGUCGUUAAUUGCCAUCAUUUAGUUGGGCACUUUAACGAGACUGCCGGUGACAAACCGGAGGAAGGUGGGGAUGACGUCAAGUCCUCAUGGCCCUUAUGGGUAGGGCUUCACACGUCAUACAAUGGUCGGUACAAAGGGUUGCCAAGCCGCGAGGCGGAGCCAAUCCCAGAAAGCCGAUCAUAGUCCGGAUUGCAGGCUGCAACUCGCCUGCAUGAAGUCGGAAUCGCUAGUAAUCGUGGAUCAGCAUGUCACGGUGAAUACGUUCCCGGGUCUUGUACACACCGCCCGUCACACCAUGGGAGCGGGUUCCGCCAGAAGUAGGUAGCCUAACCGCAAGGGGGGCGCUUACCACGGCGGGGUUCGUGACUGGGGUGAAGUCGGAACAAGGUAGCCGUAGGGGAACCUGCGGCUG